AGAGUAGACAUGUCAGCACAGCUUGAGCAAAUUAUCGCCCAACUGUUGGUCCCCGACAGCAAUGCUAUCCAAGCAGCAACGGUUAAACUCAAGGAGUUUUCUAAGGACCCUGCCAUUGUACCUGCUCUGUGUCAAAUUCUCAGCACAUCGGAGAACAACACGAUAAGACAGUAUGCAGCUACCAUACUGCGACAAAAGAUUGAAAGAAUUUGGUCAAAACUUGAUAACGAUCUGAAGAAUGGAAUCAAGACCAUCUGCCUGCAGGUUCUACAAAGUCAAGUAACAAAAGAAGUGAGAAACUCAGUGACAGCUGUAAUCUGUGUUAUUACCAAACACGAGUUCAGUUCGUGGCCCGAGCUGCUCAACUUCAUCACUGCGGCUUGUUACAGUGACAACCUCCCUGCUAAGGAGCUGGGACUGUACAUGUUGGGAGUAGUAUCAGAGUCUGUGGGGGUGGAGAUGGAACCUCACUUUAACUCCAUGUUCGAGCUAUACGCCAACUGUCUCUCUCACCACAACCAGCCAGAGGUGCUGCAUCUAACAUGUGUUGCCAUGAGUCAACUCGUUCCUUACCUUGGCUCCAACCAUGCUCAGAAGUUUGGUGUUCUUCUGCCUAAUGCUAUCAAUGCUAUACAGAUAUUGCUUGGCGUGGACGAAGAUAAGGCGUGCACCUCAUUCGAACUAUUCGACUCUCUGUUGGAGUGUGAGGUUGCGAUUAUUGUACCUCAUUUAACCUCACUUCUGACACUUUGUUUGGAAGUAACUAAGAACACUGCAUUUGAUGAUGGAACCAGGGUCAAGUUCAUGACAUUCCUGAGUUGGUUGGUGUCGACGAAGAAGAAGGCUCUGCAAAAACUACAACUGGUAACCACGAUCCUUGAUGUAAUCCUACCUCUGAUGGCUUGUCCAGAUAUAGAUGAAGAUGAAGAUACGUCUCAGAAUCCUGGAUCUUUUGCUGGAAGCGUCCUGGACACUCUAGCUCUCCAUCUGCCUAGCGAUAAGCUGGUACCGAUCCUGUACAAGAAUUACAUCCUACCACUCAUGUCAUCCGGACAACCUCUCGAGAGGAAAGCUGGAUUAACAGCCUUGGCUGUGGUAGCGGAAGGGACAUGCGAGUACAUGCUGGAGCACAUGAUGCAAGACUGUCUCAAGUUGGCCGGAAAUGGGUUAUCUGACGAGGCUCCAGAAGUAAGGAAUGCUGCCCUCUACGCUCUGGGUCAAUUCGCUGAGCACUUCCAACCCGAUAUCGUCAAGUACAGCAAUGAGAUCCUGCCGAUUCUAUGUCAGAAGAUCGCGGAGGAGAUGAGUACCCAAAGUGCGGCCCUCACCCGAACCUACUACGCUCUAGAGUCCUUCUGUGAGAACAUGGGAGAGAACAUUGUGCCUUAUCUGCCCGAUCUUGUGGAGAAACUGGUGGUUAUGAUAGCUCACAGCCCUACUGUUCACGGUAAGGAGCUAGCAAUAAGUGCGUUGGGAGCAGUGAGUAACGCAGCAGAAGAAGCUAUAGUCCCCUUCCUAGGACAGGUUAUGGAGCAUCUCAAAGUUUACCUGACCGCACCCGAUACCGAGGACGGCAUCAGGCUCAAGACCCAGGCUAUUGACACUCUCAGUGUGUUUGCUAGAAAGAUAGGAAAGGAAACGUUCAGUCCUAUGGCAGCAGAGUGCGUGCAGCUUGGUAUUGCUAAUCUGUCCUCCGCUGACGAUCCAGACCUUAGACGAUGUAUUUAUAGUUUGUUUGCGGCAAUAUCAUCUACAUGUCCUGAAGCUCUUUACCCUUGCCUUGACCCAAUCGUAAAGAAAAUGUUCGAGACCUUAGAGAGCACUGAGGGUAUGACGACAGAAUACAAAAACGACGCUAUGCCACGGUUUGAUCUUGACGACAGUAUCGAAGAGGGAAAAGGAGAGGAGAGCGACGACGAAGACGAGGUUUUGGGUGAUUACGAGAGUAUCGAAGGUAUAUUAGUAGAGAACGGUUAUUUGGAGGAGAAGGGUGAUGCUCUGACGUCUCUGUGCGAGCUGGCUGAUAACAUGGCUACUCACUUUGUUCCUUAUUACGAGGAGACAUUCGGUCAUGGUCUCAAACUGGUGGAUUACAACGCGCCAAUGGUCCGACGAGGCUCCAUUCUGUGCAUGACCCACGUUUGUGUGUCUCUCCACAAAGUCAUCCAACAAAACAACUUCCAGGACGAAAGUGCAAUGCUCCCCAAGUUCCUUGCUGUGUGUGUUCCCCUCGUGUUUGAUGUAGCUAGAUCUGAUAAGGACCGGGAGAUCGUGUGUUGCGCUCUAGAGUGCAUCAACGAGAUGCUGAAGGAAAUGAAAGGUGGUUUGAUCGCUGAAGAAGAGUACUUCGACUCGCUGAUAGAGAUUGUAAAGGACGUGUUGCAGCACAAGACUGCAUGUCAGAAGGACUCAGAGGAUGAAACCUUCUGUGAUGACGUAGAGGACGAUUCCGAACUGACGACUGUUUUGGUAGACUUCGCGGGUUCUAUUCUCCCCUCCCUGGCUACUGCUAUGGGAGGACAGCGGUUCACUCCUUACUUCAAGAACUUCCUGCCCCUCAUUAUACCUAAAGAAGGGAGAAAGCGAAGUGAGAGAAGCCUAGCAGCCGGAACACUGGCUGAGAUCUGUCAAGCAAUGAAGGAAUCUAUCAUCCCAUUCUCUGAUAAUAUGUACUCCGUCUUUAUGAGAGGUAUAAAAGAUAACAGUGAAGAAGUGAUAAGCAACUCAGUGUUUGGUUUGGGUGUGCUGAUAGAGAGUUCUGGGCCCACACUCGCCCCUAGAUACCCAGAGAUUCUGGGUAUACUCUCCACGUUCCUCAAACAAGAUGGAGACAGAAGAACUAUCGAUAAUGUGUUAGGGGCAGUAGCUAGAAUGAUGAAGACCAACCCUGGUUCUCUUCCGCUCGAUACUAUCUUCCCUACUUUCGUCAAGUGGUUACCCCUGCAAGAGGACUACGAAGAGAACAUCACUGUUUACUCAUCUAUCUACGGCUUACUGUCAUCUAACUGUCAGGUAGCGAUAGAGCAGUUACCUACACUUAUACCGCUAAUGAUAACACAGCUGACCAAUAAGAAAGUGGACGAUGAAACAAAGGCUAAACUCACUGAAAUUCUACAAGGUGCGUUCUUAAUCUUAUCUACAUUCAGGAAGGAAAUUUAACGAAAUUUCUUAAACGAAAAUUUUUUCAAAUCGUUCCUCCAAGUAGAGAUGAGUUCUAUAGGUACUGAAACAUUUUAUAGGUACUGUAACAUUGAACUAAAUCUCAGGUGUAACAAGUCAAUACCAAGAUCUCACUCUGAAGUCUAUCACAUCAGACCAGGCUGAAAUACUGAAACAAGCUCUAGCUCAUGUCAAUGGAUCAUAAAAUUGCCAUUAAAUAUCUAGGUUAAAUGUUGUGAUUUAUUGGGCAAAAACAUUUCAAAACUAUUUAAAAAUAGGCUUUAUUCACUGAGCAUUUAGAUAGUAUACUUUAAAGUUUUAUUUGAAUCUUUUUAAAAUUCUGUUUUAGGAUGUUUUUGUCAUCUUUUUAAUAUUUGAGUUUCGUUUGGUGGCACAACUGUGAUAACUUAUUUGUAGAAGUGUUGCUUUUCAUUUUUCUAUCAA
RNA transcript from Bolinopsis microptera, 3603 nucleotides. It is a transcript of the gene named importin-4-like, with no coding region annotated. The record is from RefSeq and is a predicted model, not a curated record. NCBI's taxonomy places the organism in Eukaryota, Metazoa, Ctenophora, Tentaculata, Lobata, Bolinopsidae. The transcript is spliced from 26 exons.